This is a non-coding RNA of Peromyscus maniculatus bairdii (prairie deer mouse), 1266 nucleotides long. Lineage: Eukaryota; Metazoa; Chordata; Mammalia; Rodentia; Cricetidae. The record is from RefSeq and is a predicted model, not a curated record.
ACGGGAGCUUCCAACAGAUGUGGAGGACCAACCAAUAGGAACCGUCUCCCUAGCCAACCAGGGAUGGGGUUAGACUCAGGAAGGGAAAGAGGAAGUUAGACUGUUCUGUAGUUAGCCUGCGGUCGUGGUCCGGUAAAAACUGUUUCUGCUUGCUCAUGAGAUAAGCACAGAAUUUCCGAGUAAAUACCUAGAAAUUGUGACCACAGUUUUCCACCAGGCCCAAGGCACGAUCAUUUUUCUAGAGGUUCGUUUUGAUUAACAUUUCACAAAGCAGUGACCCACGACGGAUGGGGUCUUUCAAAGCGGUCCUUCACCAUCAAGAGCUUGAGAUGCACACCCCGCAGCUGCUCAGUGUGGCAUCUUGUGGCACAUCUGUGGUGUCGGAGAGACACCCCCCCCCCCUUUUCAUCGUUUGGGACUAUGACUCUGCAGGAAGAGUCUCGGAAGAAUGGGGGGGGGGGAUCCAGAUGUCCCCAGGAAGACAGGGCUGGGAAAGGCUGAGGAGAAAACGAUGGGAUGGCAUGCUCCUGGAACGUCUCUCUCCCUGCAGACAACCUCUGCAUCCCACAUGGCAUCUGCCUUCAGCCCCCUGCUGUGCUGAUGUCCUGUACAUUGAGCUCCUGCGGUAGACUGAGUCUGCCCCUAGCUGCUCGGAGGCAAACCAAACGGAGACCUUUUUGUUACGUGCUUCCUCAGAUGAACUCAUUUGCUUUUCCCUGUGGCCUUGUGAGAUGCGCUCUGUUUUUAAUCUUCAAUCUUAAGACAAGACGGCGUUUCAAAAUCAGCCUGUAAGUGGCGGAAGUGGAAGCUGCCUUCCAGACGGCCCAUUCCAGGCCUGGGAUCCAAACCAGCUUUUGACAUCAUGGCCCUGCCUUCCAGGGGCUUAAAACCUGGUUGGGUUGGUGAGACCCUGAGUCUUAGCAGUCUGGGAGUCCCGACUGUACACCCAGGAGCUUGGAGAAAGGAAGACGUCUUGGGGCUAGGAAGGCAGCCAUCUUGGGCCUGUCCCUCACAGGCCUACUCAUUCAGUGUUCUUAUUCCUUCCCUCUAUGAUCCUGGCUCCACUCCCUCCUCCCUGGAGCCCCAGAGGGGUGUCUCUGGCUUCAUCCUCAUGGGCUCCGCACACAGCUGUGAGGGUGCCGUGUAUGUGCUUGGGAGAGUAACGGGAACCGACAGUGGCGGGGGCCACAUUCUCCAGCCCUCUUCCCACAGAGGCAUCCAGAGCCUCUCUGCGGUGCCAAAAUAAACUUGCAUCGUUUCCAAAUG